Molecule: ribosomal RNA, 465 nt
Filed under: uncultured microorganism
Description: bacterial SSU rRNA
Rfam family: Bacterial small subunit ribosomal RNA
Source: RNAcentral
GAGUUUGAUCGUGGCUCAGAGCGAACGCUGGCGGCAGGCUUAACACAUGCAAGUCGAGCGGGCCCUUCGGGGUCAGCGGCGGACGGGUGAGUAACGCGUGGGAACGUGCCUUCUGGUUCGGAAUAACCCUGGGAAACUAGGCUAAUACCGGAUACGCCCUUUUGGGGAAAGGUUUACUGCCGGAAGAUCGGCCCGCGUCUGAUUAGCUAGUUGGUGGGGUAAUGGCCUACCAAGGCGACGAUCAGUAGCUGGUCUGAGAGGAUGAUCAGCCACACUGGGACUGAGACACGGCCCAGACUCCUACGGGAGGCAGCAGUGGGGAAUAUUGGACAAUGGGCGCAAGCCUGAUCCAGCCAUGCCGCGUGAGUGAUGAAGGCCUUAGGGUUGUAAAGCUCUUUUAUCCGGGACGAUAAUGACGGUACCGGAGGAAUAAGCCCCGGCUAACUUCGUGCCAGCCGCCGCCGU